GGGUUGAUGGCGCAGUUGGAUAGCGCGUAGGUCUCAAAGCCGAGGUCGAGAGUUCGAGACUCUCUCACCA
This is a non-coding RNA of Triticum aestivum (bread wheat), 70 nucleotides long. NCBI's taxonomy places the organism in Eukaryota, Viridiplantae, Streptophyta, Magnoliopsida, Poales, Poaceae. The record is from Rfam.